AGGGCGUACGGGGGAUGCCUAGGCUCUCAGAGACGACGAAGGACGUGAUAAGCUGCGAAAAGCUAUGGGGAGGUGCAAAUAACCAUUGAUCCAUAGAUGUCCGAAUGGGGAAACCCGGCGGGUUGAAGACCCGUCGUCGCAAGACGGUAACCCAGGGAACUGAAACAUCUAAGUACCUGGAGGAGAAGAAAACAAUUAGUGAUUCCGCAAGUAGUGGCGAGCGAACGCGGAUUAGCCCAAACUUUAAUGAUUCGUCAUUAGAGGGUUGUAGGACCUGCAUCAAGGCUGAAGAUCCAAGUGGAAGUAGUUUGGAAAACUACACCGUAGAGGGUGAAAGUCCCGUACACGGACGAACGACAGCUGGGCGGGUAUCCUGAGUAGGGCGGGACCGGUGAAAUCCUGUCUGAAUCUACCAGCACCAUCUGGUAAGGCUAAAUACUCCUGAGAGACCGAUAGUGAACCAGUACCGUGAGGGAAAGGUGAAAAGAACCCCAAGAAGGGGAGUGAAAAGAACCUGAAACCGUGCGCCUACAAGCGGUCGGAGCAUUGACUUUCGAGUUAAUGUGACGGCGUGCCUUUUGCAUAAUGAGCCUACGAGUUACACCUGACUAGCAAGUUUAAGGCUUUCAGAGCCGCAAGCGAAGCGAAAGCGAGUCUGAAUAGGGCGCAAGCUAGUUGGGGUAGACGCGAAACCUGGUGAUCUACCCAUGGGCAGGUUGAAGUUCCGAUAGUCUCGGAAUGGAGGACCGAACCAGUACACGUUGAAAAGUGUUUGGAUGACCUGUGGGUAGGGGUGAAAGGCCAAUCAAACCAGGAGAUAGCUCGUACUCCCCGAAAUGCAUUUAGGUGCAGCGUUUGCGAUAGUAUGUCAUGGAGGUAGAGCUACCAAUAGGGCUAGGGGGCUUCACCGCCUACCAACCCCUGAUGAACUCCGAAUGCCAUGACAUGUAGCAAGCAGUGAGGCGUUGGGUGCGAAGGUCCAGCGCCGAGAGGGAAACAACCCAGACCAUCAGCUAAGGUCCCUAAGUAUUAGCUAAGUUGAAUGAACGAGGUGGGAAUGCUAUGACAGCUAGGAUGUUGGCUUGGAAGCAGCCAUUCAUUUAAAGAGUGCGUAACAGCUCACUAGUCGAGCGUUCCUGCGCGGAAAAUAAUCGGGCAUUAAGCUAAUCACCGAAGCUAUGGACUCCUUCGGGAGUGGUAGGGGAGCAUUCCAGUGUUGCAGAAGGUGUACUGCGAGGUAUGCUGGAGAUACUGGAAAAGCAAAUGUAGGCAUGAGUAACGAUAAAUGAGGUGAGAGACCUCAUCGCCGUAAGACUAAGGGUUCCUCGUUCGAUGUUAAUCAGAACAGGGUUAGUCGGGUCCUAAGGUGUAGCCGACAGGCGAAGCCGAUGGCAAACGGGUUAAUAUUCCCGUACCUGCUAUACAAUAAAAGUGACGGAGUAGUGUAGGUAGUGCGUACUGACGGAAUAGUACGUUGAACUGUGGGCAACUGCAGGAUAGUACACCAAGUCCCUAGGACGAGGUGAUAAUCUACUGAAGCGACUUCCUAGAAACAGCGAGUAUAGCAGCCCGUACCGUAAACCGACACAGGUAGUCGAGGAGAGUAUCCUAAGGCGCUCGAGUGAUCCGUGGCUAAGGAACUAGGCAAAAUUGACUCGUAACUUCGGGAGAAGAGUCGCCCCCUUGCGGGGGCCGCAGUGAAAAGGCCCAGGCGACUGUUUAGCAAAAACACAGGACUCUGCGAAAUCGAAAGAUGAAGUAUAGGGUCUGACACCUGCCCGGUGCUGGAAGGUUAAGGAAGGUAGUUAGUCUUCGGGCGAAGCUAUUGACUGAAGCCCCAGUAAACGGCGGCCGUAACUAUAACGGUCCUAAGGUAGCGAAAUUCCUUGUCGGGUAAGUUCCGACCUGCACGAAUGGUGUAACGAUCUGGGCACUGUCUCGGCCACGAGCUCGGUGAAAUUGAAGUAUCGGUGAAGAUGCCGAUUACCCGCAACGGGACGGAAAGACCCCGUGAACCUUUACUACAGCUUCACAUUGGGUUUGGGUAUAGGAUGUGUAGGAUAGGUGGGAGACUUUGAAGUGGCCACGCUAGUGGUUGUGGAGUCGUCCUUGAAAUACCACCCUUCCUAUACUUAGAUUCUAACUCUGAAAAGAGGACAUUGUGUGGUGGGUAGUUUGACUGGGGUGGUCGCCUCCUAAAAAGUAACGGAGGCUCGCAAAGGUACCCUCAGCAUGGUUGGUAAUCAUGCGUAGAGCGUAUAAGUACAAGGGUGCUUGACUGAGAGAGGGACGCCUCGAACAGGUGCGAAAGCAGGCUUAAGUGAUCCGGUGGUUCCGUAUGGAAGGGCCAUCGCUCAAAGGAUAAAAGGUACUCCGGGGAUAACAGGCUGAUCUCCCCCAAGAGCUCAUAUCGACGGGGAGGUUUGGCACCUCGAUGUCGGCUCAUCGCAACCUGGGGCUGAAGUCGGUCCCAAGGGUUGGGCUGUUCGCCCAUUAAAGUGGCACGCGAGCUGGGUUCAGAACGUCGCAAGACAGUUCGGUCCCUAUCUGUUGCGGGCGUAGGAAUAUUGAGGAGAUCUGACACUAGUACGAGAGGACCGUGUUGGACGUACCUCUAGUGUACCAGUUGUGCCGCCAGGUGCAUUGCUGGGUAGCUAUGUACGGCAUGGAUAAGCGCUGAAAGCAUCUAAGCGCGAAGCCAACUCCAAGAUGAGUAUUCCAUUGA
Molecule: ribosomal RNA, 2725 nt
Filed under: marine metagenome
Description: bacterial LSU rRNA
Rfam family: Bacterial large subunit ribosomal RNA
Source: RNAcentral